This 72-nucleotide transfer RNA is filed under the name Sphaerodactylus townsendi. Its description in RNAcentral is "tRNA-Met". It matches the Rfam family "tRNA". Rfam says of the family: Transfer RNA (tRNA) molecules are approximately 80 nucleotides in length. The record is from RNAcentral. Lineage: Eukaryota; Metazoa; Chordata; Lepidosauria; Squamata; Sphaerodactylidae.
AGGGCUGUGGGUCAGUUGAAGAUCCUCUGCUUCAUAUACAGAAGGCCCCAGGUUUGAUCCCUAGCAGCCUUU